This 495-nucleotide ribosomal RNA is filed under the name uncultured bacterium. Its description in RNAcentral is "partial 16S ribosomal RNA". It matches the Rfam family "Bacterial small subunit ribosomal RNA", at positions 28 to 507 of the family's 1533-position model. The record is from RNAcentral.
GACGAACGCUGGCGGCGUGCCUAAUACAUGCAAGUAGAACGCUGAAGGAGGAGCUUGCUCUUCUGGAUGAGUUGCGAACGGGUGAGCAACGCGUAGGUAACCUGCCUGGUAGCGGGGGAUAACUAUUGGAAACGAUAGCUAAUACCGCAUAAGAGUAGAUGUUGCAUGACAUUUGCUUAAAAGGUGCAAUUGCAUCACUACCAGAUGGACCUGCGUUGUAUUAGCUAGUUGGUGGGGUAACGGCUCACCAAGGCGACGAUACAUAGCCGACCUGAGAGGGUGAUCGGCCACACUGGGACUGAGACACGGCCCAGACUCCUACGGGAGGCAGCAGUAGGGAAUCUUCGGCAAUGGACGGAAGUCUGACCGAGCAACGCCGCGUGAGUGAAGAAGGUUUUCGGAUCGUAAAGCUCUGUUGUAAGAGAAGAACGAGUGUGAGAGUGGAAAGUUCACACUGUGACGGUAUCUUACCAGAAAGGGACGGCUAACUACGUG